CUACCAUUGAUUAGAAAUCCCACAAAGAUUGCAUCGUUAAAGUUGUGUCUUCUUGGUGACCCCGAUCAAAAUUUGAAAAUGAUGGUUAUAGCUGACUCGCAAUCGACUUGCUGAUACCAGGUAAACUCUUAAUAGUAGAAAUUAUUUCAAUCUUAAUAUCUAUACUUCAUUGGACUGAAUUCCACAGUUGGAAUUAAUACCACCAAUAAAAGUUUAGAUAUUGCCAUAAAAAAUAAAUUCCACAUUGUUUCAAUCAGUGAUAUAAGUAAUCUGAAUCAAGCUAAGCUUAUAGAUAAUUAACUAUUUUGAAAAUUUAAAGUCCUGAUUUAGUACCAUAUGAACACCUCAAAGCUCUCACCAGGUGCAAGUACUGUCAACCAACCGUAAUUGCUUCAGACUUAAACCAUUCCCAAUAAUUUUAACAUCUAUAGCUUCACUUAUGAUUCAGAUAGUAACAUUGUAAGAAUAGUCCUAAAAGAAUAGUCUCCUAUUGAGCAGAACUGCUGAUAUAUUUUGUCCUAAUGUAAGGAGUGUUUCCUUUGUCCAUCAUGAUAAUUUCCUGCCUUCACUAGGAACAUCUUGAUCUGAAUUAAAUUCAUAUGUACCUGCAAAAUUGAAAACCAAGUUAGCAAAAAAAAUCAGCAAAAGUAUUUCCCUCCCUUAAGGAGUGUUGUACUCUUAUUCUGUGAAUUGAGCCAACCUCAAUACUCACACUCCAAGGAAUUUUCCAGUUUCCAUUAAUGAUGUUAACCAUUGCCAAAGAAUCAGUCUCAAUAAUAAUGUUAGAAUAAUGAUUCUCUAAACAAUAUUGUAAACCUUCACUUAUAGCCUUAGCUUCAGCCACUAAAGUUGUGGAAUCAAUAAUUUUCAUCUCCUUAUCCCCAAAAACCUGCCUUCAUGAUUUCUUAAGCAAAAAGCAGAAGCACUGAGACCUGGGUUUCCUCUAGAGUCCCCAUCAGUGUUACAUUUCAGCCAACCUAUAGGAGGAGGAAUCCAUUUAACAAUUUUAGAAUGAACCACAGGUCUGAACCUUUCCAGAAGAGCUACCAUAUAAGGCCAAGUAUUAGGGAUAUGAUCAUAGUGAAAAUGAGACCUAAUAAACUUGUGGAUAGUAGCAUUGAUAUCCCAAAUCACCUUGUUUCUAAUAUAGACCCCUCCAUGUAAGAUAGUAUUCCUCCUCUUCCAUAGAAACCACAGAAUAAUGUUAGGAACUGCUUGAAAAACCAUUCUCAGCCUAGUAUUACCUUGUGCCACCCACCACUUUUUCAUGGUAUAUUUAAUUUGAACCCAAGGACCUAGUAUACCAGCAGCCCUUACAUAAUGAUCCCAAAUAGAAGUUGCCACUUCACCUGAAAGAAAAAAAUGUUCAAUAGUUUCUCUUACAGGAACCCUGCAACACUAACAUAAGGGAGAAAUGUUAGGAUUCCAUGAAGAAAUGAUAUCAGCAACGGGAGCAACGGGAACUCUGUAAGUCCAUACCCUCCAACCAAAGAAAGAAAAUUUUGAAAGGUAGCCCCUUCACCCAAAUUCUCUUAAUGUCUUCAUAAACUUCAUCCCUACUUCUAAGAAUCUCCCAUGCAGACUUUACAGUGAACUUGCCAGUACUAGAUUUUAUCCACCAAGGUUUAUCCAUUUGAUUGUCUUACCCUGCUCAUACUUUGUCUCACAUGAUCCACAAUAUGACUAGGUAAAUACUCUUGCAUACUAUUAUAAUCCCAUCCAGAAUCCUUCAAAAAAACCUCAAUAUCAUCCAAAGAAUGACAACCGUGCACUUCUGUCGGAUGUAGAAACAAAGGACCAUGACUAGUCCAAUUGUCAAACCAAAUGCUUGAUGUUCCUCCUUUAGGUUCCCACCACAAGUUUUGUUCUAUUAUUUCUCUAUUUUCCAACAUUUGUUUCCACACUUGUGAGCCACCUUUCCACUGAACAAGGGUGGGAAUUUGCUUCUUACAAUACUUAUUCCACAUGAAAUUUGCCCAUAGUGAAUUUUGAGUUCUAAAUUUCCACCAAAGUGUAGCAUACAUAGCUUUAGAUACAUCAAUCAUAGAUCUAAAACCCAAACCUCAUUCAUUUUUUGGUAAGCACACCUUUUCCCAUGCAGCCCAAUGUUUGCUUCUACCUGUAAGCUUGUUACUCCAAUAAAAUUUUGCAAAAAUUCUAUGAAGCUCUUUCAUCACUCAAUUAGGAGGGGCAAUAGCAGAAAGUACAUGAAUAGGAAUGCUUUGUAACACACUAGACAACAGAACUUCUUUACCCCCAAAAGAAAGCAUGUUUCCUUUCCAAGCCUGAAGUUUAUCUUUCACCCUUCUGAUGAGAUCUGCAUAAUGCUCUUUUCUUUUCCUAGCAUGAGUUAUGGGACAACCUAGGUAUUUUAAAGGGAAGUGACCCCUAGACAUACCUGUACAUUCCUCCACCACUACUCUCAUAUUUGUGGCAGUACUUUGAUGAAGAUAAAAUGCACUUUUCUCUUUAUUAAUUUGUUGUCCAGAUUCACCUUCAUAUUCCUGCAAAGUUUCAACUAUCCUAUUCAAAGAGUAAUUAUCAGUAGACGCAAAAAUGAUGGUAUCAUCUGCAUAAGCCAGGUGGUUAAUUUGUGCACUCCACUUUGGUAAACCAUACCCUACAUAUUGCACAUCAUCAAACAAAGCAUUCAAAGACCUGGAUAAAACCUCCGCUGAUAGAAUAAACAAUGCCGGAGAGAGAGGAUCUCCUUGUUUCACUCCUCUGGUUGAAUGAAAUAAGCCAUGUGAUUGUCCAUUAAUUAGUACAGAGUACCAAUUAUUGGAAAUCAAUCUCCAAAUUAUGUCAACCAAAUCAUUUGAGAAGCCCAUUUUUCUUAAUACUUUCAUUAGAAAAAACCAUGAUACUCUAUCAUAAGCUUUGGCCAUAUCAAGCUUAAUUACCACAUUAUCGGGCUUACCUUUUUUUCUAAUAUUUGUAACAAUCUCUUGAGUCAGCAGAACAUUUUCAAUGAUACUUCUCCCUUUCACAAAACCAGAUUGAUUAUUUGAAAUCAACCUUGGAAGUAAAGACUCAAGUCUAUCAUGAACAAUUCUAGAGAUGACCUUAUUAAUAAAAUUACUCAAACUGAUUGGCCUCAAAUCUGAGAAAGACUGUAUAUUAUCUUUCUUUGGUAACAGAAUUAGGUUGGUAUGAGUAAUGGACUUAGGUAAAGAAUUACCUUGAAGGAAAUCCUGUACCAAUGCUAGAAUAUCAAUGCCAACAAUGUCCCAGCAGCUUUGGUAAAAUCUCCCUGUCAAACCAUCAGGACCACUAGAACUAUCUCCAUUAAGUUUGAAUACAACAUUCUUUACCUCUUCUAAUUCUGGCAUUCUGCAUAAAACUGAGUUUUCCUCCGCAUUGAUCAAAGUGGGAAUAUGCCUUAGUAAAGGAAAAUCAGUCGCAUCCCUCUCUUGUGUGAAUUGCUUUUGAUUAGGUCCUUUGAAGACUUCUUCAACUCGGAUCGAUCAGACCUAUACCACAAACUGAAGUUAAGUGAGCAAAGCUUUCUCCUAUUUCAUCUUUGUGCACUGUUAUACUUCGAUUUAAUUCAUCCAUGAACUUCUCUACAGGUUGAGCCCCAAAGAGGCUGAUACCACUGCAUAAGGAGGCCACAUAUGGAUUCUAUCUCCGCAUAAACAGUAUAUUGUAAUUACAUCCACUUAUGCAAGUAUGCAGGUACUGUCAUCACCUUUUGAUAUUUCUUUGUCAUUCAUGUCGGGUUUUUCUUGUUUGUCUCAAUUAUGUUUGUGUAAUGAAAAACAUGUUUUGGAUGUUUCUAAUUUUAAGAUUGGAAAUUUGUGUUUUAUCUAGGUGUAAUAUUGCUUUUCCUUUUGGUGCUAAAUCUUGGAAAUCUGAAUAGAUGAUAUAUGUUGUGCCUGCAAAAAGAAAAAACCGGUUAGCUAAAUAAUCUGCAAAAGUAUUGUCUUCCCUAAGGGUGUGCUCCACUCUUGCAUCAACAUUAAUUCUCAG
RNAcentral lists this long non-coding RNA (3972 nucleotides) under Solanum tuberosum (potato). RNAcentral describes it as "long non-coding RNA (STUB_LNC004471)". The record is from RNAcentral. Lineage: Eukaryota; Viridiplantae; Streptophyta; Magnoliopsida; Solanales; Solanaceae.